GAUGAAGAACGUAGCGAAAUGCGAUACGUAAUGUGAAUUGCAAAUUCAGUGAAUCAUCGAGUCUUUGAACGCACAUUGCGCCCCCUGGUAUUCCGGGGGGCAUGCCUGUCCGAGCGUCAUUGCUGCCCCAAGCACGGCUUGUGUGUUGGGCCCCGUCCUCCGAUCCCGGGGGACGGGCCCGAAAGGCAGCGGCGGCACCGCGUCCGGUCCUCGAGCGUAUGGGGCUUUGUCACCCGCUCUGUAGGCCCGGCCGGCGCUUGCCGAUCAACCCAAAUUUUUAUCCAGGUUGACCUCGGAUCAGGUAGGGAUACCCGCUGAACUUAAGCAUAUCAAUAAGCGGAGGA
RNAcentral lists this unclassified non-coding RNA (344 nucleotides) under soil metagenome. RNAcentral describes it as "partial contains 5.8S ribosomal RNA, internal transcribed spacer 2, and large subunit ribosomal RNA". The stretch from base 1 to 119 matches the Rfam family "5.8S ribosomal RNA", at positions 35 to 154 of the family's 154-position model. The record is from RNAcentral.